GGGUGGGUUGCCAACUUGUUGGCAUAUGAGAUUAGAGGAGAAUUGUCUCCUCUUAGGUGAGAGUUCUAGCCCCUAGCGUUGGGGUUAUUGGGAGAUAGGAAUCCAAAGUAGAGAAAGGUGUUUCUCUACCUUUCUUCCAUUGCCUACAUCCUCCUUCGAUCCAUCUUCAACAUCGGAAGGGUCCGAGUUGUUCGAAGAA
RNAcentral lists this long non-coding RNA (199 nucleotides) under Elaeis guineensis (African oil palm). RNAcentral's name for it is "long non-coding RNA (EGUI_LNC073544)". The record is from RNAcentral. Lineage: Eukaryota; Viridiplantae; Streptophyta; Magnoliopsida; Arecales; Arecaceae.